This 472-nucleotide ribosomal RNA is filed under the name uncultured bacterium. RNAcentral's name for it is "SSU rRNA". It matches the Rfam family "Bacterial small subunit ribosomal RNA", at positions 26 to 518 of the family's 1533-position model. The record is from RNAcentral.
AGAACGAACGCUGGCGGCAUGCCUAACACAUGCAAGUCGAACGCUCUUGGGAUUUCGGUCUCAAGGGAGUGGCGCACGGGUGAGUAGCGCGUGGGAACCUGCCCUGUUGUGGGGGAUAACCGAGGGAAACUUCGGCUAAUACCGCAUAAGCCGGCUGUCUUGCGAAAGAUGGCCGGGAAAGAUUUAUCGCGACAGGAGGGGCCCGCGUCGGAUUAGGUAGUUGGCGGGGUAACGGCCCACCAAGCCGGUGAUCCGUAGCUGGUCUGAGAGGAUGAUCAGCCACACUGGGACUGAGACACGGCCCAGACUCCUACGGGAGGCAGCAGUGGGGAAUAUUGGACAAUGGGCGCAAGCCUGAUCCAGCAAUGCCGCGUGAGUCGAUGAAGGCCUUAGGGUUGUAAAGCUCUUUCGCCCGCGACGAUGAUGACGGUAGCGGGAGAAGAAGCCCGGCUAACUUCGUGCCAGCAGCCGC